CGGGGAGUGGCUCAGCUUGGUAGAGCACCUGGUUUGGGACCAGGGGGUCGCAGGUUCAAAUCCUGUCUCCCCGA
This is a transfer RNA of Caldalkalibacillus thermarum TA2.A1, 74 nucleotides long. It matches the Rfam family "tRNA". Rfam says of the family: Transfer RNA (tRNA) molecules are approximately 80 nucleotides in length. Lineage: Bacteria; Bacillati; Bacillota; Bacilli; Caryophanales; Bacillaceae. The record is from Rfam.